GCCAAAGAUGAUCAGUGAGGGUGAUUAUGUCAUAUUAAAGAAGGAAAAUGUCAUCAGAGCCGUGAAAGUUCGAAAAGGCAGGAAAGAGACAUUUGAAAGGUUGCACUUCACACUGGAUAGUGCUAUUGGAUGUCCUUUGGGAUCAACAUUUGAAGUAAAAGGAGGUAAACUAAGCAGGUUUGAUGCGGAACAAGACGUGGAUGAACUUCUUAAGCCAAAAAAUAAUAUUGGUAAGUAUG
Long non-coding RNA from Orbicella faveolata, 239 nucleotides. The record is from RefSeq and is a predicted model, not a curated record. NCBI's taxonomy places the organism in Eukaryota, Metazoa, Cnidaria, Anthozoa, Scleractinia, Merulinidae.